Molecule: ribosomal RNA, 398 nt
Filed under: uncultured bacterium
Lineage: Bacteria
Description: bacterial SSU rRNA
Rfam family: Bacterial small subunit ribosomal RNA
Source: RNAcentral
CAACCAACCCAUAACAGGGGGAUAACCCGGAGAAAUCCGGACUAAUACCGCAUAAGACCACGAUAUCGCAUGAUAUAGAGGUCAAAUAUUUAUAGGUUAUGGACGGGCAUGCGUCUGAUUAGCUGGUUGGCGGGUAACGCCCACCAAGGCAUCGAUCAGUAGGGGUUCUGAGAGGAAGGUCCCCCACAUUGGAACUGAGACACGGUCCAAACUCCUACGGGAGGCAGCAGUGAGGAAUAUUGGUCAAUGGGCGAAAGCCUGAACCAGCCAUGUCGCGUGAAAAGGAUGAAGGUCCUAUGGAUUGUAAACUUCUUUUGCAGGAGGGUAAAGUGAGCUACGUGUAGUUCAUUGCAAGUACCCUGCGAAUAAGCAUCGGCUAACUCCGUGCCAGCCGCCGC